Molecule: long non-coding RNA, 277 nt
Filed under: Mytilus galloprovincialis (Mediterranean mussel)
Lineage: Eukaryota; Metazoa; Mollusca; Bivalvia; Mytilida; Mytilidae
Source: RNAcentral
CGAAGCAAGAAAAAUGUGUUUUUGGAAGAGGAAAUACUUAUUGAGGCUAUUCCCACGACUCGGUCUAGUCUUUUUCAGCAAGUAAAACGUGCAAUAUACCAUGGCGGGUGCGAAUGAGUAACAAGCUUGGUAUUGGUUCCUAUGCUAACUAGUCCAUCUCUUAUGAAUGGCGAAGGGGAAAAUAUGAUCCAUGGGAACCCUUUUGGACAACUCUUUGUGAGGCCUCUUCAUCUUAUCAGGAGCUUGUACAUUAUAGAUAUAAGAAACAAUACCACGA